This 684-nucleotide long non-coding RNA is filed under the name Dromaius novaehollandiae (emu). Its description in RNAcentral is "lncRNA (ENSDNVG00000010298.1)". Lineage: Eukaryota; Metazoa; Chordata; Aves; Casuariiformes; Dromaiidae. The record is from RNAcentral.
GCUGGGGCAAACGUGGCACCGAGAUGCCCCCCCCGGCUCCGGGCGCAGGGCAAGCUUCGCGGGAACGUGGAGAAGCCGAGCACCCCCGAGCUGCUGCGCCUGCUCUUCUCCACCUUGUCCUUCGUCCUGGACCACUGCCCGGACCCCGGCCUGGCGUCCUCCGUGGAGACCCCGCUGCUCAUCCAGGCGGCCAUGGACCUGCUGGAGGAGACCCUGCACCCGGAGGACUACAACACCUGGAAGAGCCUGGGCAUGGCCUGGACCAAGAUCAGGGCCGAGUACCCCAACGGCGACUCGGUGCCCACCUACAUCCCCGUCUUCUCCGACGGGUGGCUGCCACCGCUGCUGGCGCAGCCGGGGGUCCCCCCUGCCGCCGAGCGGGUAAGUCCCGGCCCCACGGCGGUCCUGGCGGGGCGGGGGGGGCAGCCGGGGGGGGAGCAUUGCUCCCUGCCUCGGUUUCCCCGGCUCGCUCUGAGCGCUGAUCCCCUUUGCUCCCCGCGCAGGUGCCUGCCGCGAGCCCCGGGGACAACCUUGUGUAAGUGGGGACACAGAGGGACGCGGGGACGGUGGCAGCCCCCCACGCCCGGUGCUGCCGCUGGGCACUCACCCACCCGGCCCGGGGGGGCAGCGAGGUCUGGCUGCAGCCCCCGGCCGGGGCUGGGGGACGCACCGGUGGGCACUUAG